This 346-nucleotide ribosomal RNA is filed under the name Isometrus thwaitesi. RNAcentral describes it as "partial large subunit ribosomal RNA". The stretch from base 79 to 346 matches the Rfam family "Bacterial large subunit ribosomal RNA", at positions 2048 to 2561 of the family's 2925-position model. Lineage: Eukaryota; Metazoa; Arthropoda; Arachnida; Scorpiones; Buthidae. The record is from RNAcentral.
UUAGUCUUGUAAUUCAAGACUGGAAUGAAAGAAUUACCUAGAUACUCUUUAUUUUUAAGAUGAAAAGAUAAUUUUAUUUUUUAGUAAAAAAGCUAAAAUAGACCUUAUAGACAAGAAGACCCUAUAAAUCUUUACAUAUAAUAGCAAUAAUAUUCUAUAGUAUGUUUUACUGGGGCGGUAGAAAAUAAAACGUUUUUAAACUUUAUAGACAUAUUUUAAUAUCUGGAACUUCCAAAAUUAAAAUAAGAUACUUUAGGGAUAACAGCAUAAUUUAUUUAGAGAGCUCUUAUUGACAAAUAAGAUUGUGACCUCGAUGUUGAAUUAAGGUACCUCUCUAACGCAGGAG